Molecule: ribosomal RNA, 253 nt
Filed under: uncultured bacterium
Lineage: Bacteria
Description: partial 16S ribosomal RNA
Rfam family: Bacterial small subunit ribosomal RNA
Source: RNAcentral
UACGUAGGGGCCAAGCGUUGUCCGGAAUUAUUGGGCGUAAAGAGCUCGUAGGCGGCCCAACGAGUCGGAUGUGAAAUCUCAAGGCUCAACCUUGAAAUUGCAUCCGAUACUGCUGGGCUUGAGGCAGGUAGGGGAAAGCGGAAUUCCUGGUGUAGCGGUGAAAUGCGCAGAUAUCAGGAGGAACACCGGUGGCGAAGGCGGCUUUCUGGGCCUGUACUGACGCUGAGGAGCGAAAGCGUGGGGAGCAAACAGG